CUCGUGCUUGUUUGUGAACUAUCACACUUGCUCCUUCUACCAGUUCAUGGAUGGUAGAAAUAAAGCUUUUUCUCCGAAACUAUUCCUUGAGUGUCUGUUGACUCCCAUUUUCCCUUUCCCGGGCGCAAUAUUUUUCCCACUCGAGGGCAAAGCCUCAUAAGGCUACAGUUGUAGAGCAGGUCCCUGAGUUUGAUUUCCCCCCUCUUCUCUCCCUGUCCCUUUCCCCUUGUGUGCCUUUUGUUUUAGGUUGAAUGCCUGUAGACAGGGACUGUCUUGUUUCUGCAGGGCAAACAGAAAAUACAGUGGUACCUCUGGUUAAGUACUUAAUUCGUUCCGGAGGUCCAUUCUUAACCUGAAACUGUUCUUAACCUGAAGCACCACUUUAGCUAAUGGGGCCUCCUGCUGCCGCCGUGCCACUGGAGUACGAUUUCUGUUCUCAUCCUGAAGCAAAGUUCUUAACCCGAGGUACUAUUUCUGGGUUAGCGGAGUCUGUAACCUGAAGCGUAUGUAACCUGAGGUACCACUGUACACACCACAAUUUCCUCACUGCGUAAAUCAUGUUCAGAAUACCACAACACACACGUAACUGGCUGUAAAGUAACAUAACAUUAACAUUAUAUAUAAUGUUUUAUAUAUAAUAAAACUGUAAUCUAAUCACAUCAAAAAUUAUAUGAUGAUUAGAUUACAGUUUUAUUAUAUAUAAUGUUAUGUUACUUUACAGCCAAUUAUGUGUGUGUUGGGGCAAACCGAAAAUGGCUUGGACCCUUUGCCUGGAGAGCAUGGAACAAGCGGAAAACCUCUCGGACUCAUGCUUUGUAGACACAGGACAAGCGAAUUGUGGAUGAGCCCUUGAUAUAAGGCAGCUUCCUCUGUUCACACAACCUAUGCUGACACAGUCCUUGGGAUGAAGAGGUCUUAUUCAAUUGCUAUUCAUUCAAUUUAAAACAUGUGCAGAAGACCCUGUGACCAGAAGUGAGGACAGUGAUGAAUGUGAUGAUAUUAGCUGCUUUGAAACCCACCCUGACCAGCCUGAGACUUCCGUUUCUUCUCUGCAUUCAUUCCUCUGGACCACCUGAUGCAUCUCCUGGCUUGGGUUGGUUAUGGGGGAACAUGCAAACCUCUCAGUUGCUGUGAUAUAAGGGAUAAAAGACUACACACAUUUUUUAUGAGUCAAUAUUGGGCAAAACAAAACUUCUUCUCCCAUCUGUGACAUGAAUUUUUUUUUUUGGGGGGGUGCCUCGUGGAUGGGCACAGUUGUUGAAGGAGUUCUUUUUCAGUCAUGCCACUGUGACCUCUUUAGCUGAGAGCAGUACCCAGAAUCCUUUGCUGGUGCUGGUGCCGCUGCUGCGUGCACCACUUGCUCCUCACUGCAUGGCCGCUUCUGCGAUGCAAAUGUCGCUCUCUCACAUGCUUAAAAGAUGUUUACCGUACGCCCGGCCCAGCUGGAUCCCACCCAGCCCCCAAGGCCCUGCUCCUCCCCUCGCGGUUUCACACUGCGGGGUAAUUAUAGCCUCGCGUUGGUGAGUUUUGAAACCGAGAGGCGCUAAGAAUAGCAACAGAAAAACGUCCUGCAAGAUGGCGUUUCCUGAAGCUGCAGUUUCUUGUAUCUCAUCUCUCACCCUCUCCUUUUUCCAUUGUAAAGGUCCGCUCUUUCCAGCCUCCUAUGCUUGGCCAGAGUCAUUCCAUUCACAUGAGCUUCCUAUUAUGGGUCUGGUCUGCACACAUGGGUGUAGUUGGGGGGGGCAGGGAGGGACACCUGCCCCCUCAGUCAAUGAAAAUGCAUAGCAAACUGAGGUUCUGCCCCCCCCACAAGGGCUGUCCCCAUGUCUGCACAUGUAGUAUUAUGGGGUGGGAGGAUACUGAAACUGGUUGCAUGGACUUCCCUGGGGUACCCAACAUGGUGCCCUUCAUAUCUUGUGGACUGCAGCUCCUGGUCAUAGAUCAAGGAUGAUGAGAGUUGGAAGUUCACAAAGAGCACCACAUUAGCUACUUUUGGACUACCCAUCAGAUUAUAGGUGGUGGAUGCCAUUUUUAAACACUUUGCUUUGUUCAACCAACCAACCAACCAACCAACCAACCAACCAACCUGUAAGUCAAAAGCUAGCACAACAAGUUGGACCUGGAACUUUUAUUUCCAAUUGUGUUAGCUUUCUAUUUGCACAGAGUCCCCCCCCCCCCCUCCAUCUCUUGUAAAAGAACAAUGAAAACGUUAUUCCCCACUUGAAGUGAUGCACUCUAUUCUUCCACCUCAUCCUGACCUCAUUCUGCUACAGGUGUAGGCCCAGACUUCCUCCUUGGAAGCAUCAUAUUGCGACUUUCGCUCCAGGUCUCUGAUGGGUCUGUUUCAUUGGAAUAAGGUCACGGGAGGCUUUUGCCAGUUUUGUGAUGUAUGGUUUAUUUACAUGCAUAUACAGGGAUCGGAAGGUUCACAUCAUUAGCACUUCUUGCAUAUUGUUUCUGGGAUGCUUGUGCACUAAAAACAGUAAUGAUCACAAAACCUGCAUCAACUGGAAAGGCCCGCCCGCAAAGGAUAUCUAGCCCAGCCCCCUAAUGGUGCAGAAAUCUAUUGCUAUACGAUCCCAGAUGAGUAGCUAUUCUCUGCUUAACAACCUCCAAUAAAUGAAUAUGCAAUAGAUUAAGGGAUUGAUAGUCACUGGUAGUUUGAAGACCAUAGACUGUAUCCUGUGAUAGUCUUACUCAGAGUAGACCAGUUGAAGUUAAUGGGCAUGCCUAUCUUAGUUUAAGUUGGUCUGCUCUGAGUAGAACUUGGCUGACUACAAUCCUGUGGCAGUAAGGAAAUGGUGUGUAAGAGAUGGGCAAAAGAGCUGGCUUAUUUGAGCGUAUUGCAUGCACAUAGAUAGAUAAGGAUAUUUAUUUCAUAUGGUUAAAGAGACCUGGCAAAGAUACUGGAAAGUGGAGUUUCACAUCUCUGGGUGAAGUUAGAAGCCAGAUAGUGUCAGGCAUGUUGGGGCUAGAGACACCAGACAUUCAUUCGUUUAAAAAAGCAAUAGCUGCCAGGAUGGUAUGCCUCUGAAACAUGAAGACUAGAUUCAAAAUAAUGAAAUAUUUAAAAGCACACAAUAAGAUAUAUAUAUAAACACACAUGCACACUAAAUCUAAAAUAAUAUUAUUUUUAUUUUUUAACCCCCCCCCACAAAAUAAGAGCAGCAAAAGCAACAAUAAGAGUAAAACCACCACUGCUUAAAAGCCUGGGAGUAGAAUGUAUUAGUCACCUGUUAGUCUUUAUUCACCUGUGCCAGCAGAAUAUCUCUAGGGAGACCAUUCCACAACAGGGGCACCACCACUGAAAAGGCAUAUUUUUAUUUGUGGGGGUGACUGUCCUUCUGUUCUUUACUAGGUGGGAGAAGCAGAUGUUUCUGACUCUUGGUGGAA
Non-coding RNA from Podarcis lilfordi (Lilford's wall lizard), 3393 nucleotides. Lineage: Eukaryota; Metazoa; Chordata; Lepidosauria; Squamata; Lacertidae. The record is from the annotation of a GenBank genome assembly.